ACGGGAGGCAGCAGUGAGGAAUAUUGGUCAAUGGGCGGAAGCCUGAACUAGCCAAGUCGCGUGAAGGAUGAAGGUAUUAUGUAUUGUAAACUUCUUUAGACGCAGAGAAAUAAGGGGAUCGUGAUCCCUGAUGCUAGUAUGCGUAGAAUAAGGAUCGGCUAACUCCGUGCCAGCAGCCGCGGUAAUACGGAGGAUCCGAGCGUUAUCCGGAUUUAUUGGGUUUAAAGGGUGCGCAGGCGGCUUUUUAAGUCAGUGGUCAAAUCGUGGAGCUUAACUCCAUCCCGCCAUUGAUACUGGAGAGCUUGAUUGCGGUUGAGGUUGGCGGAAUUCGCCGUGUAGCGGUGAAAUGCAUAGAUAUGGCGAAGAACUCCGAUUGCGUAGGCAGCAGACCAGGCCGUAAAUGACGCUCAUGCACGAAAGUGCGGGGAUCGAACAGGAUUAGAUACCCUGGUA
This 453-nucleotide ribosomal RNA is filed under the name uncultured bacterium. RNAcentral's name for it is "partial 16S ribosomal RNA". It matches the Rfam family "Bacterial small subunit ribosomal RNA", at positions 341 to 792 of the family's 1533-position model. The record is from RNAcentral.